GAGGCGAUGUCGAGACGAGCAGUGGCAGUGCGGAUGUUGCUAAGGCUGUCUUGGAGAAGAUUGACUUCGAGAUCGGCCUGUUCUUUUACGGCUCUUAACUGCUCCAUGCUUAACUUAUCUAACUCCGUCGUCACCGGUGCGGUGGUUUUUGGCCCGCCGGCGCCUCCUCCGAUUCCGAUCCCCUUCGACGACGCCAUUUUCCUUUUCUUUCUGCUGGUAUUGCUGACCUUUGGUACCCCAAUUCUGACUUUGCUGCCCUUUUGUGUGCAGUCCUGCUUGGGCUGAUUAGAAUCUAUGUUUUCACAACCGGAUAGUAUCGACUCGGUCAAGUUUAGAGGUCAAGGUGAAUAGAUUCAAUCGUUUUAAUAAGGAUUGAAUCAAAUGACGUCAUAAAUAAAAAUUAUUUAAAAAUUAAAAUAUUAUAAUUAAAAUACCUAAUAACAUGUUAAUAUUAAUAAAGAUAUAUUCAUAUAUAUUUGAUGUUUUAAAUAUAUUUAACAAGAAAAUACAAAGAAAUUAGAACAAUCAAAUAACAAUUUAUAUUAUUUAAUGAUCAUUAACAAGUUUAGAAUUAAAAUUAUGGAUUUAAUUGAAAAAUAAUACCAAACUUUAAGAAAAUAUUGAUAAAGUAUGAAAUAUUUGAGAUAUAUUAAUAAUUUUUAAUAAUUUAGGGGCCAAAACAUAAUAUUGAAAAUGUUUGAGUUUUUUUUUUUUUUUAAACUGUUUGAACCGGCAAAUCCGGUUUUUCCAGGUCAAACCCGAUUUUUGACCGGAUUUUUAAUUAUUCGAUUUUUAAACGUGACUCGAACCGGACAUUUGAUCGGUUUCCAGUUCGACCGAUUGAACCGAUCGAUUCGGUCCGAAUUUUAAAACACAAAUUACAAUUGAUGCCCUUAAGCUAUAUCUAGUUCUUUAUUCAUCCCAAACUUUUUACUUGCUAUCACUUAAUCCUAUGAUAGAUGUCAAUGUCUAGGGAUAAGAGAUAUUUGAAAUAAUGACUAGAUGUGAUGUAUGUGAGAUAAAAUGAUAGUUAAGAAAAUAAAAAAAAAUUGAUUGAAAAAUGGGUUUGUAAUUCAAGGUUUAUGUCCCACUUCUUUGUAUUUUAUUAAAUAAUUAAUCAAAUUACAUAUUUAACAUCAAAAGUACCUCUCUUUUCUUUCUACGUAACUAGGGUUUUCCCAGGCACUCUUCCAUGGCUGCUUCAGCUACCCUUCAGCCGUCAACUGGAGGUCAACCAUCUUCCUCUACUUAUCCGACUUUUCAUAAUAAAUCUUUUUUGUCAUUAUUUCAUCCGAAACAAUAUUCACCAAUGGAGCUUCAUAAAACAACUAGGAGGGGGGAACCUGCGGUGGUUUUCUCUUCUACUAAUUCAAUUAUCCUUGGGAGGGAAGCUCUCAAAGGGACUUCUGCUGAUGGAAGAAAUUCAUAAGUUUUUCACAACUCUAGAUUUAAAAGAUGCUUUCUCUAUUGGUCUCUUAGACAAUCGACAUGUGUUGAUUCAAUUAAAAAGUGAGCAUGAUUUUCAUCGCUUAUGAGGGAGAAAUAUAUGAUACGUUUUUAGUUAUCCUAUGAGGGUGUUUAAAUGGACUACAUCUUUUCAUGUUGACACGAAACCAUCUAUUGUUCCUGUGUGGUUUUGUUUCCCUAAAUUGCUUGUUCAUUAUUUCAAGAAAGAGUGUUUGUUUCAUAUAGUUUCUUGUUUGGGUCGGCCAUUGUUCAAGGAUACUAUAACAAUUUCUUUGUCUCAGCCUAGUAUGGUUAGGGUGUGUCUGGAGAUUGAUCUCCUAAAGCCACUCCCUAGCUGUGUCUGGGUUGAAGUUGCAACUGGUGAAUCAGAGGGUUUUUGGCAACUGUUAGAGUCAAAAGAUUUGCCUAAGUACUGUACUUAUUAUUUUCGUCAAGGUCACGAAUAAGAUGGCUGCCGAAUUAAGCAUCUGAAGUUGAAAGUUUCAAAACUCCAGGAUUUGGGGGAACAAAUUGAAUCAAAAGGAAGACAAGAUAGGAAAAAAACAAGGAGUUUUGACAGAAACAAACUCUUGUAUUAUCGGGAGUGGAGGUUAGUGGUGCGACAAGCUCAGCUAUUCCAACCGAUAGUGGUGUGGCAAAUCCUACUAUCGGUUGUGGUGUUGACAUACAACCUAUUGCUUCUUCAGAUGCAAGGGGUUUGUCCGUUGCAAGUCCCGAACAUGUGACACCUUCGAUUGUUGAAGUUGGUUCUACAUAGGAGAUCUCUCAUAUUAUGGCAUCGAUCUCAGAAGGUCAAGUUUCAACUGGUCUUGUGAAUUCGAUGAGCCUACUAGUGUUGUUUGCGUCAUUAGGGGAUAAGUCCCUUGUCCCAGCUCAAUUUGAUUCAGCAGUUAUUACUUUAGAAAAAGAUUCGUUGGGGGAGGGUUGUUAUUCCCUCUACAGGAGUUCAACAGUGGUUGUUUGAGUUUCCGAAUUUUCAAUAGUUUCCAACAUUGUCAGCAUUCCUUUUUCUACUUCACUACAAACAAAUUUCUCGACUUGUGUAGUAGGGUCUUCAACGCUUAAGGGUUUGGUGGAUGAAACUAUUUUAGUGGUUGCUAAAAAUUAUAGAGAAUGUGGCUAAUCAAAUUUUAACUUAUUCCUCCCUAGAUGAUAGUUGUGAUUCGAAUUGGGGGAAUUUGGAUAUUGUAGAGUUGGAAAAGAAUUUGGCUGCUUAUAUGAAUUUGUCGACUCGUAAGCCACCCCUAGAGUCGAUGGAAGAUUGCAUAGAUGUUUAGAUGGUCUUAAAAAGUUUGAUGAUUGGUAGCCUAUGGUUAGCAAAAAAUCACAUAAGAUGAUAGCUUUGUGUCCUUCUGCUUUUUCUUUAAUUCCUUCCCAAUGAUUAAAGCUUUAUUUUGGAAUGCUAGAGGCAUGCGAAAAUCUUUAACUUUGGCUAGAUUAUGUAAGUUUCAUUGGUUACAUGGUUUUUCUUGCUUAGCAUUGUGUGAACUAUUAUUGAUAUAUCUAAAUUGGAGGAGUAUAGAUGUGAUGCCCCCACUUCUUCCUAAGACGAACCAAAAGGUAUCGGCGAGACGCCUGCCCAACUCUCGCUAGGACUCAGAACAAUUUCAGUUCAAACAUGAUGAGAACAUGAAGAUUUGGAUUCCUUUCAUGUCCAAGAAAAUUCAUUUUAUAAGUCUUCAUAUUCCAAAGAUGGUUGAUGGUGCAAUCGGGCUCGAGAAUCAUUGAAGAUCCAACCCCGUGUCAUGUGUAUUUCUUGUUAUUUAUUUAAUUAAGUUUUCAGCAAAUAUUGUUAGUUAAUUAGAGUUAGUCUUAAGUUAUUUUUGAGUCCUUAAUAAGAGGAAUAAAGGCUAAGGUCAUGUUUACCAUAGUUAAGCCUAUUUGAGUUAGUUUUCUAUUCUAGUUGAAUUAGAGUUUUAGGAAAGUAAUUAAUUGCUUCUAAAUUUAUUUAGGAAGUUGUGUCAAGUUUAGAAGUCAAGUCAAAUAAGGAAACUUGUAUUGUUUCCAAUUUAGAUUAGGAUUUUGAGUCUUGUAAGACUAUAAAUAGCCAAACUUAUGAUAUUUCAAGAGGAAGACAAUUAUGAAUAAAAUUUGAGAGUUUUUCUUUUUCAUGUUUAUUUGGAAACGUUCCUUGAUACAAAGUGAGUCAUGUCUCCUUUGUUCAAGUUUUGGCUUAUCAAUUCAAGAUCAUGUUGAAUUGUGGCGCCAUUCUACUGUUCUAAACAAUCUCGAGCUGUCCUUGAUUGGUUUAGAAUCCGUCUUUUGUACCCAUAACCUGAUCAAGAUAGAUCAUUUCGCUGCCUGAUCGAUUCGAUUUCUUCUCGAGUAGUCCUUGAAGAAUCGGGUUCGUAUCAGAGCGGUUCCAGGCACCAAAUCGAUCUUAAAUUCUAUUUUCCUCUCUGGUGGCAUAUACUUCAACUCGUCGGGGAAGACAUCGGAAAAUUCAUUCACUACUAACACAUCUUUCAGUUUCACCUUAUCUCCAGGGGUAUUAAUCAAGAAAGAUAAAUAACCUUGCGCCCCUUUACUUAAUAAUUUCCUGGCUCAAAUUCCCGAAACAAGUUCAGACGAGGCUAACCUACCCGUCACAUCCAACUUUAGAGUUGCCUCUCCGGGUAUCGAGAAUUCUACCACUUUAGUUUUACAGUUCAACUGAGCAUUAUAACGGGCCAACCGAUCCAUGCCUAUAAUCACGUUGUAUCUCUUAAGGUCUAAACUUAUCAAGUCUCCCAUAAACUUCCGUUCUCCUACCCAAAUCUCAUGAUUUUUAUAAACCAUAGUCCCAAGUCAAGCUAGGCCAUUCAGCUAGCCAAAAUUAGGGUUUUUCAGAUUUGGUACAGUUUGGGAAUUGGACUAUAUCUAUCUCAAUACAACUUGAAAUUGAAAAUGGUUGGUGGCAUUGGAAACUACAUUCAACAGGCUACAUUUCAUCAGAAGGAGUCAUUUUGAAAUUCAGUUUGCAAAUGAGAGAAAAUGGAGCCACAAUUGGAAGCUUCUACAAUUUAUCGAUUGCACUGACAGAACAGGGCAGUCGACUUUGAUCAGUCACUACAGAUGACUCACUUCGAAUUAAAAGGUGCAUAUACACCGUUAGAAAAAUACGAAUGUCUAGUUUUAAAUUCCACAAACGGCACUUGAUUUUGAUGUCCAAGCAGAGAGUUAUGAUCAUUCAAAGAUGCUCUGUCUAGAACACCCGAACGCAAUUUUCCAGAUUUGUACCAUUUCGAAAUUCCAACUUUUACUCAACCAAUUCACAUGAUUUUUGGUGAAAAAUUUCCAUACAUCAUAUACAACAUAUCUACAUCAGAUUAAAGGUCAAUUGAGCAUCAAAAAUUCGAGCUAAAGGUUCAAGAAAAACAGGACAAAUUUCGGCCUCUUCCUAUACAAUCUUCCUUUGGUUUUCUUUUCACUUUUCUAACUUAUAUCCACUUGAUUAACACAUAAUUAACACCAACAACACUCAUAAUCACCAUAUCAGUUCAAUAUAUCCAUUAUGGAAUUUCAUAGAACCCACUCCAACAUUUAAACUCAAUCCACAACAAUAACCAUGAAGCUACAAGCUUCCUAGCAAAAUUUAACCAACUAGAACUAAGAUAAAGUGACCGGAUGAUUACCUUCUAAUCCUUUGUGUAAAAUCAGAAAUUUUGCACCUUUGAGUCCCAAGAAAACCGUGAGAAAGAUGUCCUCCACUAUGCCAAGGUGAAUCUCCAAGUUGUUAGAAGUUGGAUGGUGUUUUUGGAUGCAAGAUUGGAGCAAAAAUGGUGCUAGGUGAAUUUGGGUUUUCUCCUUCUUCUUCCUUGAGGGUGGCCGGCUAUGGAGUGAAGAGAGAGAGUGAAAUGGCUGAUGACCAAAGCUUCUUGGAGAAGCUUGAUGGUUGGUGGUUCAAUUUUGAGCAAAAGUCAACUUUGAGUAGUGUUUCCCGCACACGUUUUGUGUCCGUUUUCUCUCGGAUUUGUUUCAAUUGUGCACUAAACCUUUAAUGCACUUCCUUUAACACUAUUAUUAUUCACUCUUAGUAGUCUAAAAAGAUAAUUUUCUAAAGUCUUUCAAUUAGUCACGCGUGUGAAAACGCGAACUUCCGACUUGCGUGCGAUAAAGCGCAAUUUCUAAGAAAUUCUUGUAACGAUAGUAUAACUAACUAAUACUAGAGUAAUUAAGCAUAAAAAUACCUAUUUUAAGACUAACACAUGAAUCCUCAAAUCUCCAAGGCCACAGUACUCUCAAAUCGAAUAUUGUCUCCAAACGCGUAUUCACCAAAUCUCAUUAAACGAGUUUCAAAAAUUAAAUUUAUUAACGGGACAUUUUAAAAAUAUAAGCAAGUCAUAGUUCCAUGUAAAUUGUUCUAAAAGGGUUGAAAUAAAUUAUUCAAAGAAAACGGGCGAAUAAAUAUUUAAAUAAGCCAGUAAUAUGAGAUUAAAAUAAGUAAAUUUUAGGUCCUCACAGUCUUGAUGAAAUUUUGAUGCCUUAUUACUUUUCACAUGCUCUACUAUAUAUGAUCAUAGGGUUCAAGAGUGGCAUAGGAGGCGAACCUGUGAUUAAAGUGUAAAGAUUGAGAUAAGACGGUGAGUGUUUCAACUGUAUGUUAGGACCAUGUGAUUUACUUGAUUGAUGCUUCAUAUGACAUGCUGAUCGAAAUGUGACUUGUUGCUUAAAAUUGCUAGAUAUCUUGACUUGUUAUUGCAAAGGCAAGUGUGUACUUUAUCGCACUCGAUCUAACUUGAUUAAACUCUUGUAAUCUGGUUUACAAAUGAACUAAUAUACAUAUGCAUGACUUGAAAAUCGGUUGGAGAUGUUAUCUCAUCGACUAUACUCAUGAUUGGGAUCCCAAAUCCUAUCGGCUAGUUAGUCAUAUCGAGCUAGCAAGAGGCAAUUAACAAACCAUGAGAUAUGUUUCUUAUUUAAUCCACCGGAUUUUUCCUUUGGAAUCGGUAUAUUCGAGUAUUACGACCCACUUGUUUGAGGUUUUCAGGCCUGGUAGAGGGUUCAUCGAUGGACGAAAACUGGUGUAAAAUGAUGAUCUAUGGACAUUGUUUAUUGCUACAUUUCCAACAUUGACGGAGUGUCAACGGAUUUCAAAAAUGCUGCUACUGAACUGGCUGCAAGUGAAAUACUAAAUGGGACUAAGUGUUACGCCUGAAAUCUGGUAGGAGUCACCGUAUCAGCUGAAUCUACGCAUGAAUCCUGAACGGGACUAAGUUCUUUGCCUAGAACCUAGCAAAAGCCACCGUAUCAAUACUCGUAUCUUUUUCUUAUUGUGUUAAAUUGUUUAUUUGAAUAUGUGAACUUCUCUUGUUACUGACUUCUCUUGUAGUUGUUUACUUUCUUCAUUUUAAGAUUUUGAUAUAUGUGAUUGUUUAUCUUGCCAACUUGACUGUAUGUUUUCUUAGAAUCUCACUGGACUUUUAGCUCAUCCCAUUAUUUGUUUUCCUUAACAGGGAGUGGGGAUAACAUAAAAUCUUGGACUUUAUUUGGCCGGCUCUGUAUUAUGGUACUAGUCGAUUAAAUUCUUUUCUUUUGGCUUGUACUUUGGUGUGUACAUUUGGAUGAUUUGUAACAUGUAAUGUUAUAUUGAAGGAUUUUAGUUUGUUUUCCUUAAUAGGAGUUGGAAUCAUGGAUCCAAAAAAUAGUGAGUUCGAGAGAUGCAAUCUUCACUUUAAGUAAUUGCCAUCUUAUUUGUACUUAGUGAAUUGACUAAAUUACUUGUAUUUCAAUCUUUUUAGUUAUGCACAUAAGUAUGGAUGUUUUGGAAAGUUGGAUAGUUUGUAAUGUUUGAUUGAAAAAUUUCAUGCUUAUCUUGGGGUUAAUAUUAUCUCUCAAGUUAAUGUUAGUGAGUGAGUCCUGAUGAGAGUUGGACAGGCGGUCCACUAAACCUUAGGGUACACCCUAGGGGGAGGUGGGUCGUCACAGAAACAAUAAUAUCAACACUAAAUUGUGCUAACAGAGUACCUAAUUUUAGAAUGAAGCAUUCAGUCCACAAUAGGAACUACGAUUUCACAAACCAAAUCACACCAAUAGAAAAAAAAAUGAAAACCCACCUCAAGGUGAAACCACCAAGAAUAAUAGCUUCACUGGAAAACCACAUUAAAAUUCAGAGUAUAAUGGCACUACAAAUAACCAUUUACUGAAUGACAAAAGGAACAUAACGGAAGAAUGUGAAGGUGGGGCAUUCAAAGAAGUAAAAUUGAAACUGAUGCUCAGUCAUAAAUUCCUUAGCAAAUCAUGUUGUCCUGGCUUUAAUAGAGAUGAAAACAGCAUAUGAAUGCCUUCAAGUUAUAAUAGUAAAGCAAUGGUAGCAAUGGUAGUAAUUGAUAUUUUAAUUUAACUAACACAAGCCAAUCAAUGUCUCUCUAAGGACAUUUAAGUAAUUACACCAACAAAGAAGCUAUUAUGGUUUGUGUCCACUGCCGCAAAAACUAUCAAAUAAUCUCACAUUCCCCAAAUACCCAAUCCUCUAAACAAAUCACCACAGCAUCUUUUAAAAUACCUGGACAUAUUGGUAAAUACAAGAGUAUACAUGCUAUCCUAAGUAGUACCCAAUGCUAUAUCUACACUCAAAACAAUCUCACAAUCCCAAAAUGCCCCUACCCUUGUUGCUGAAAUUCAAAGCCACUCUUGGACCCAAACUUAUUCUUACAUAGUACAGGUAUUGCCCAAGUGGAUGAAUGUUAGGAUUAUUUUCUAAUUUGGGCUUCUUCUCAUUAAUAUUUUGUUUUCUCAAGAAACAGGCUAAAUGAAAAUUGGUUAAACCCACUACAGUAUAAUCCAUUAGAGUUGGGAGGUCUAUCUCAGUCAUAUAUUUGGUGUAAUAUGUAAGUCCCAUGGCCUAUAUUCAGUAGGUUCUUUAAUGGGCGGAUCCAAUUUAGAAACUAGGGUUUGGUCCCUCGUUCCAUUUAUAAUACUACAGGUUUUACAUAUAGGCUGUUAGGAGUGGUUUGCCUCAUUGAGAGCCACUAUACAAAAAUUACGGAGGGAGAGACAGCACUUAACCUAGAUACGUGAAUGUUAACGUAUUGAGUGGAUUCAUAGCAUGGAUCUAGAUCUUCUUCUCAAUCUUGUCAAGAUUCAAUGGCUACAAAUAAUGGUACACCUUGAUGUUACAGUUGUAUUCAAAAUCUAAUGUUGGGAUCCUGGAGAGUCCUACAUAUACUUCUGGGACAGUUCAUGUGCAAGUAAUAUAGGCUUCAAGUAGUUUUAGUGGCAAUCUGAUGCCUCGUGUUCUAGACUUAAGGAAUGAUCAAUGGUUAGUUUACAAACUUAAGGAAAUUCUAAAAUGUUAAUAAAAUUCAUAUUCUCUAAUUGAGUAGUGACGCUAGUAUUUGGGUGCAGUAUGAAGUAGAAGCCAUAGAGAGCCUUUGGAAGAAAACUAGAAGAUUAGGUAAAGAUCCAUAGAAAUACAACAACCAAGCGUUGUAGUUAUAUUUUGCCGGAAAACAUGUCCUAAUGUUCCAAUCUCUGUCAAAAACUCCCUUUUCAUUCCUCUCACCGUUAGAAAUUUUACUUUGCAGUUUUACUAAACUCAUCAAUUAUUUGCUCCAAUUGCAAAAUGUGAUGCCUUCUAAGGAAAAAAAGGAGAAAAAUCGAAAAGACACCCGAGCUAAAGCCAUUAGUGGCAUCAAAAAAUUUUUUUGCAUAGGAAAAUAAGGAAGCAGAGAACAUAUUUAGUGUGCGGAAAUGAGUAACAAUGAACCUUCACGGAGACUAAUCGGGGCAACAAGAUAAUAAUGUACCAGUUGAAUCCUACUCGAGAAAGUGAACUUCACCCUGGAUUUAAAAAUGUAAAAGACAUAAUUUCUUUUAAUAAUGUUUUAAAAUUACACUACUGCAGUUACCUGAAACUGAAAAAAUCAAUGUAAAUAAAAUAAUUUGAGAGAAUUUAGCGUAACAGUGAAACAAUCAAAAGACUGGAAGAAGAGCACUCAAUGCAUUAAAAAGAUUUGAAAGAUAGCUUAAUAAAGUUGUUCUUGAGAGAAAAAGGUCAUUGGAACAAGACCAUAACGAACAGAAACAUAUGCUCAUAAUUACUGACAUGCAAACUCAUAGCGGUUAGAGGUUUGGAAUAAUCCAAAUAAUUCUGAGAAGAUUGACCGAAAAUAUUCUCAUCUUCCAUCCUACAGGCAAAAACUAAUACAAAAUUAUAAAUAAAUUAUCAUAGCAAACAAAACAAAAUGGGUAUCAUUGUGAAGAGAUAGCAACAUACGAUCAUCAUCUAAGCAGAAUAGAGAUACACAUGAACCAAUAAAAACAAAAUACCGAGCAGACCUAAGAGGCAAAUCAUCAACCACUAUGGGUAAUUGUAACAAACCUGUGGUUGGAGCAAGUAAUGGGAUGUAGCUUCUUUUUUUUCUUUCGUGUUGAAGAGCUACAAACCAACCCAUUAGAACAUAGAAAAACAUUAAGACAUUAAUGUGACUAUAAAGAACCAAAAAAGGCAAAUGAAUCUUACGAAAUGGAAGAAAGAUCAAAACUCCAAGUUUUGAGUGUGUCUCUUUAUCAUUCUCUUUGUGUUUUUCUUUUCUGUCUAGCAAGUGAGUAAUUAGGAAGAAGUGAAGAAACAUUCAUCCCUACUCUAUUUUUUUUCCUUAAACCAAAUGUCUAAAUCAUCACUUACUUUUUCUAGAAAAGAAUAUUUAAUAAUCAGACAAAUGAGGGAAACUAAUUUUAAAAAAAAUAUUGAAACACGUACAAAUCCAAAACAUAGCAAAACAUCUCAUAAUACUAAGGAAUAAGAAACAAAUAGAUUAAUCAAACUCUUGAUCAUCAUUAGACUGGUUGAAAACAUAUUUUAUGGAAAAAAAUUGUCACACUUCCGUAUGUCAUAAGUUAACAAACUAACUACAAACUAACUAAAGCAAUGAACAUGGGGGAAGGUUGGGUUGGAUGGUAAGGUAGAAGGAAUUGUAAGUCGAAGAUUUUCCCACUUAUAAAAAUAAAAAAGGUAAGGUAGGAGGGAUUAUUAAAAAGAAGUCAUAGGUUCAAAACUUUCCACUUAAAAAAAAUUAUAAAAACAAACUAAAGCAAUGAACAUUCUAAACAUCAUUACGGAUCAAAUAUCAAAAACUUAGUAGACCACUAAUUUAAAGUAUACAAACUUAACUCAGAAAAGACAAUUUUUUUCAAAAUUCAAAUAUGUUGCUUGUGUGAGACCCCAAAAUUUUACUUUUUUUUUAUAAUCCUUAUGUGAACUUACUUACCUUUGAUUGUUGGUUGCUUUAAUGGUUGAAUUUGAGUCAAGGGAGUGAAUUUUGUUAAGAAAAGUUUCAUAAUCUCAAGUUGUUAGAAAAUCUAGAAAUUUUCGCAGGAGGCUCUGCGCAGCUUUGGGAAAUUGGCUAUAAUUUUGUAUAGGAAAGUCGGAAUUGAAUUCCGUUUAUUACAUUUGAAACUAGACUCAGAGGGCUUUCUACGGUGUAAAAUUUAGAGUUUGAUUCAAUGUUUAUAAAUUCUAGGAAAUUGGCAAAAUUGACUGAAAAUUCUGCCCUGCAUAAGUAAACAUAGGAAUGUUGUAGUAGCUUAUGGCUCAAUUUGGACCAACUUAUAAACUAAAUCUCUUUGAGGUGUCUUCUAAAGAUUCUUAAUAUUUGAAGUCUAGUUUUUAACAAGCCAAGUUAUAUAAAUUUUUUGUAGUUAUAACUCAAGUUAUAAUUUUUCUAAAGGAAGGGCAUAAGUUAGGGUUUUGUGCAUACUAGGGUUUUGUUGUGUGUUUUUGUGUGUAUUUUGGUAGUGUGAUUGUGAGGACUUGUAAAAUCCCUCACAUUUUCUUAAAAAUUCCCUUUUAGUUGGAAUCCAUUAUUUUACAAUAGCUUUACUACUCAUUCACUUCCUCAAUAGUUACAAUUAAUCAUAGAACCAAGGGUUUUUCCUUUUCUUUCAUCGUUAAGGUAAACUAGGGUUUUUACGUCUUUUAGUAGUGUGACUAUUCGGUAUGGAGUGUGUAUCAAAUUUGGUGAUUAAGAGUGAGUUUUAGAUGAUAUUAAGUGUAUGAUUAGAAGUGAUAAUAAUAAGUUAGUGAAUUAUAAGAUAAAACCCAAGUAUACGCGAUUUAAGGAAAAUUGGCUCGAACCGACGGGUAUCGUUUGUAGACACCAAAUUUUUGGUGCAAUUUCUUUUACUUUUUAUUCUCAUUUGUCGUGGUUGCUUUUUAGUUUUUUUAGUUUCUAGUUUUUAUUUUAUUUUUAAGUUAACGUAGAAAAAUCAUGAAAAAGAAAAAAAAAGAAGAAGAAAAAUCAUGAAAAAGAAAAAAAAGGAAAAAUCAUGGAAAAGAAAAAAAAAGGGGGAAAAUUGUUCACAAAAAUACGUUCAAAUUCAAUCUUUUGGCAUUUUGGUUUAUUUUUGUUAAUUUAUUUUGAAAAAAAAAGAAAAAAGGAAGGAAAAAGUGGAAAAUGAUGAAAAAUGAAAAAUGAAAGAAAAAGAUUGAAAAUGGCAAUUUUGUUGUUUUAGUUUGUUUAUUUUGAGAUAAAAUUGUUGUUUUUUUUAUUAUUACUUAAUUUUAUUAUCAUUUUUGUUAAAUUACUUUAAAAAAAAAAGGAAAAAGAAAACAAGCCGCGGCAUGCAAGCUGCGUUUUUUUCGCAGCUUGCAAAGAAGGACUUGGCAGCCCUUUGGCUGCAAUUUUAGAGGAAGUGGCUGGGGGUUUUAGGGUUGAAGGUACCAUAUAAAUAGAAGGAGAUUGAGAGCCGCAAAAGGGAGAGGGGAUAAGUUUUAGAAGGCAACAAAAGAAAAGGCAGCCGAGAGGAGGGUUUUGGAGACUGGAGUGACGGCAGGAAACAGAGAAAAGAGGCUGAGAUAGAGGACGGCUGAAAAGAGCUUGGGCAGAGGGGACAAUUUCUGGGGAGAGAGCCGAAAGAUAGAGAGCUAGGAGUAAGGGGCGGCUGCUUGAAGAAACGAGAGAGAAAACUAGAGAGGAUGAAGGAGAUCUGAACCAGAAAGGAAAGCUUCGGCAAGAAAAUGCAGAAAAGGACCAGAAAUGGGGGACUAAGAAAAGAAAGCAGGAACAGCCGUGGGAAGGAGAGGAAGCCGUAAAGUUGAAGGAAAGGAAGGGGAGUGGCGGAGCCAGAAAGAACAGAACUUUGACGGUGGCUAAGCAAAGACUUCCCCCUCCGAACAUAUCAAGCUUUGAUCUGCCUUUCUAAAAGGCUAAAGGUAAUGUUUUUUUCCAUUUUUGACCGUUCAUGGACUGCUGGGUUCAUACUGAAACUUUCCCUAUCAAAUCUGUUUUGUCCCCCCUUGAUAAUCUUGUUGCCUGGGGUCGGUUUACAUUGCGCUUAAAUUGGCGCGUACAAAUCUGCUGCAAUGAGUUUGAAGUUCUUAGCUUGUUGCAGCAGAGGUUGCACUUUAGCUCUCUGUAGUGGUUGGGUCUUUCAUAUGUUUUUUGGAAGGAGAUUGGUGCAUUGAAAAUCUGAUGCAACAAGCUCAACUCACGGUUUGUUGCAAUAUUAUGUGUACAUCAGAUUUUCUUUUCUUUGAUUGCUGAAGCUGUGGCUUGUUUGAUGUUUUGUUGUUGUUUGCUGCCAUGAAGAUGAUUUUGCACUAAGUGAUGUUUCUUGGCUGUCAAAAGAGAAUGAAAUGGUUUCUCCUGUACUGAGUGAUGAUUUUGCUUUAUGGUCCGAGAGUUGAGAUGUUACUCGAAUGUUCUGGUUCGGCAUCUCAAGGGAGUGUUGAUGUUUCCUGGCUGUAUUCUUUUGGUUUCCCUGCUGCAUUUCAUGUUGCACUGGUGUCAUUUUAUUUUCCCUCUCCCCUUUGUUCCAAAGUCCAGCAUACGGAUAAGGUUCUGGUUUGGGGUCUUGGUAUUUGUUGCAUGAGUUUGCUAAAAUCUAGAGGCACCAGAAAUUUCAGACGCUUCAUCAGUUGCAUGUCUACAUUUCUGCCUAGCUCCUUUAUCUAGUAUUUGUUUGCAUUAAACUUCAGCUUUUGAUUGAAGUUUGAUUAAUCAUGUCAAUUUCCAGCUUUUGUCUUGUGCGAAUUACAUUCAGUUUGGGCUGUCAAAUGUGUAUAGUUUGUUUGAGUUCUCACACACGAAUAUAUCUAUGCUGAAUUUUUUUAAAAAAAUAAAAGCUGCUGCACUUUUCUUGUUGUUUCCUCUCUGCUCACCGAGUUUUGUACAUAAAGUGCUGUUUAAUCUUAUGUUGAAGGAAGAAAAUGAAAUGUUUUGGUGUUGAGUCUGCAGUCUUUGAAUCCAAGGAAACAUAAACUAGCUUGAAUGUUGGCCAAGUAAGAUAGAUCUCCCUAAAAAUCCUGAAUAGUGGGAGAGUUUUGUUUUGUUUCUUGAAUGAAGCUAAGGUCGGCAGUUUGCUUCUAAUUCCAGAUUUCUUUCCUUCCUUUGUAUACAUGAAAUGGCAUUUUGAGUUUGAGUUUACGACAUUUUAGUGGGUGCUAGGAGGUUGGAUCCUUUUCUUUGUUAAGUUUUUUGUUUGCCGCAUAAGGUUGCUCAAGUUUCCAAAGCUUGGGUUGGCUGUUGAAAAUCUCCUCUUGUUGCAGAAAUGUUUUGUAAGUUUUUGCAUGAACUUGUUUGAGUUGUUCAAAUUUGCAUGUUCUUUGGUCAGACUUUUGGUGUUUAAAUCUACAAAUUUCAUGUUGCAAAGUGAGAGGAUUGUGUGGGAGUUUUGUUUGGAUUUGAUGGCAUUUGAAAGCUGGAUUUUAUGAAUUGCAGAAAGUGCCGAAUUGCAGAAAACUUUCAGCAGAAAUGUUUGUUGUAAAAUGCUUUCACGCCACUUUUGCAUGGAUUUGCAUGGAAAAAUGUUUCCAAAAAUUACACUUUGGCCCCCCAAGUCUCCUCUUGUCCUACUAUGACCCAAUCAAUUGAAUGAUUUCCUCAAUUUGGUCCUUGGUAGCUUUUAAUUUUACAACUCCAUUGCUUGUUUGUUUCAAUUGACUACCAUGCUUUGUUUAAAUUGCACUUAAUGCAUGAAUUUAAGAGCUUCGUGACCAUGUGAACCUGUGUUUGCAUGUUUUCUUUAAUUUUCCCAAAUAAAUUGGUACUUUGACCAUUUCUUUUAUUUUGGAGGAUUAAUAAGUGACUUCACUCCAUUAGAGUUCCAUUUCAAGGGAGGUAUAACUUCUUUUAUCUUUUUUUGUCUCUCACCUAUGUGAUCCAAUGUGCUAAAUGAGAAUUGCAUGUCUAUUUUUUUUUCUUCUUUACUUUUCCUUAAUUCCUUAAUUCAUUUCAUUUACUUUUGCUUUUUAUUUAAGUUAUUCUUUAUGGGGUAUGUGUACACCUCUUGGCUUGUAAUAGUUAGGGAUUUAAUUAUUUUAUUCCUUUUCCCCCUUUUAGAUUGUAGUAGGCCUUCUCCCCCCAAUAAUGUAAUAGUUAGGGCCUUAAUCGCUUUGUGUGACUUGCAUGCUUACGUGCUACGUGUUAACUUGCUUUGUUAGGGUCUUGCAUCUAGUCGAGCAUGCUAAAUGUUAUGUGCUAUGGGUUUAUAAGUGUUUGGCAUGUCUACUCGCUUUCCAUAGCCUGAAUGAAUGUGAUGGAUGAAUGUACGUUUCCACUAGUCCAACGCUAGUCGGAAUUCAUAGAAUGGGUUAGUCCAACGCUAGACCCUUAGGGAUUUCCCCUCGUUAGUACAUGUUUGCAUGUUCAUUACAUGUCAUGCAUUCUUUUAGUUUUAUCAUUUUGCAUGCCCCGCGAACUCCUUUUCCCUCCAUUUUAGGAUUUUUGCAUUUCAUGCUAGUUAUAGGGUUCAUUUUCUUGAGAGUCCCCUUAAAUAUGGGAUAUAGACGAGUGUGGCUUUUUCUAAGCCUUAACACGCUUGUAUUCCCUCUAUAAAAGGGCAAAUUGAGUCACGAUUUAGGUCUCCCCGUACCC
Molecule: long non-coding RNA, 15263 nt
Filed under: Coffea arabica (coffee)
Lineage: Eukaryota; Viridiplantae; Streptophyta; Magnoliopsida; Gentianales; Rubiaceae
Description: long non-coding RNA (CARA_LNC007412)
Source: RNAcentral